UCUUGCGCUCUUUGGUAUUCCGAAGAGCAUGCCUGUUUGAGUGUCAUGAAACUCUCACCUCCAAUCUUUUUUAACUAAGAGCUUGGGGCGUGGACGUGAGUGCUGCUGGUGCCCUGGCUGCAUCGGCUCACUUGAAAUUCAUUAGCUGAAUCCUUUAAAGUAGGUUCUACUCGACGUGAUAAGAUCUCCGUCGAGGACAGUGCUUCGGCAUUGGCCAACGAUAAAGUUGAUACGCUUCUAAUUAGCGCAGACUUCGAGAGCUGGCAACUUGACCAUUUGGCCUCAAAUCAGGUAGGACUACCCACUGAACUUAAGCAUAUCAAUAAGUGGAGGAAAAGAAACUAACAAGGAUUCCCCUAGUAACGGCGAGUGAAGCGGGAAGAGCUCAAAUUUAAAAUCUGGCAGUCUACGAUUGUCCGAAUUGUAAUCUCGAGAAGUGUUUUCCGCGUUGGCCUGUGCACAAGUCCCUUGGAACAGGGCGUCAUAGAGGGUGAGAAUCCCGUCCUUGGCACAGACACCCAAUGCUUUGUGAUACACUCUCAAUGAGUCGAGUUGUUUGGGAAUGCAGCUCAAAAUGGGUGGUAAAUUCCAUCUAAAGCUAAAUACUGGCGAGAGACCGAUAGCGAACAAGUACCGUGAGGGAAAGAUGAAAAGCACUUUGGAAAGAGAGUCAAACAGUACGUGAAAUUGUUGAAAGGGAAACGAUUGAAGUCAGUCGUGCCUGCCUAGAUUCAGCCUUCUGGUGUAUUUCUAGGUCGGCAGGUCAGCAUCAGUUUGGGAGGGUUAACAAAGGAGUUAGGAAUGUGGCUACCUCGGUAGUGUUAUAGCCUAGCUUCAUAUUGAUCUUGCUGGACUGAGGAACGCAGUGCGCCCGCAAGGGUAGGUCUUCGGACACUU
This 897-nucleotide ribosomal RNA is filed under the name Cystofilobasidium capitatum. RNAcentral's name for it is "eukaryotic LSU rRNA". The stretch from base 278 to 897 matches the Rfam family "Eukaryotic large subunit ribosomal RNA", at positions 1 to 610 of the family's 3401-position model. Lineage: Eukaryota; Fungi; Basidiomycota; Tremellomycetes; Cystofilobasidiales; Cystofilobasidiaceae. The record is from RNAcentral.